This 410-nucleotide ribosomal RNA is filed under the name uncultured bacterium. Its description in RNAcentral is "bacterial SSU rRNA". It matches the Rfam family "Bacterial small subunit ribosomal RNA", at positions 370 to 772 of the family's 1533-position model. The record is from RNAcentral.
AAUGGGGGCAACCCUGAUCCAGCCAUGCCGCGUGAGUGAAGAAGGCCUUCGGGUUGUAAAGCUCUUUCGGCCGGGAAGAAAUCGGUUGGGAUAAUACCCCAACUGGAUGACGGUACCGGAAUAAGAAGCACCGGCUAACUACGUGCCAGCAGCCGCGGUAAUACGUAGGGUGCGAGCGUUAAUCGGAAUUACUGGGCGUAAAGCGUGCGCAGGCGGUUUUGUAAGACAGGAGUGAAACACCCGGGCUCAACCUGGGAACUGCGCUUGUGACUGCAAGACUAGAGUACGGCAGAGGGGGGUGGAAUUCCACGUGUAGCAGUGAAAUGCGUAGAGAUGUGGAGGAACACCAAUGGCGAAGGCAGCCCCCUGGGUCGAUACUGACGCUCAUGCACGAAAGCGUGGGGAGCAAA